This is an RNA transcript of Fukomys damarensis (Damara mole-rat), 1757 nucleotides long. RefSeq lists it as uncharacterized. The transcript has 6 exons. Lineage: Eukaryota; Metazoa; Chordata; Mammalia; Rodentia; Bathyergidae. The record is from RefSeq and is a predicted model, not a curated record.
AGGUCACCAUGUACAUAGAAAAAAGGGCUGAGUUUCUGUCAUCUGGCAAGAAUAUCCAAUAAGCAUGCUGUUUUUCUCCAAAGAACACAUGAAAUAAGUGACAAAGAAAGAACGCAAGUGUAGAAAUAACAGCAAUAGCAACAACAACCACAGCAAAACCUGCUAUACCUCCAGGGACUGCUGGAUGAGUCAAAGAGGAAAAUCUGGACACAGACAGGGAGGACAUCACACCAUACAACCACAGAGGAAGAAUCUGGAGUGAUACAUGUACAAAGCAAGGAGUUCUGAAGAUGACUACCGCCACCAGGAAGAGCUACACCAGUGUUCCAGGACUCUACAGAGCCUGUGAUUGCUGUAGAGUUGGAACCGUCUGUCUUUGAGGCACCCAUUCUGUUAAGUGAUCUCUCUGAAGACAAAGCAAAGGUCAUAACUGUAUCACCACCAAAGCCUGCUGCCCCCAAGUCCUUUCCUGCAGGCAGGUUUCAGACCCCAUCCUUAUGCUCCUCUGGAGACAGGACUCUGAUAUUUUUGAGGUCAGAGCUGUCUGAAGAUGGGGAAAGUGGAGAUAAAGUGGGUUUCCCACUGGUGGAAGAGAGUUGGUUCCCUGAACGAGGUAUGUGGCCCUGUGGUAUGAAGCGGUUUGCUUCUCCCUACCCUGGCAGCACUCUGAAUGUUGGAGGACCUCCAAGUGAGCAGCCUAAGGGGCCUGUGCUGCCAGCCUUGCAGAAUUUCCCCAGCAAAACAUUGGUAAGGAAGGAGAAGGGCCAUGGAAGUCUCCAAGGUGAGUCCGUGAGAUUCUCAGUGGUAAUCCAGGCUACACCAACGUCCUGUUCACAAAAUGCCUUUCCCUGUGUCCAAGCCCUGUGUCCUACUUUGGACCUGUGCAUAGGCUCUCAGAGCGAAGAAGGGUACAGAAUCCAUGGGAAUGAAUGAGGCUGAAUAUCUCAGCAAUACAGCAGAAUGAGACCUCAGAAUUAAGAUCAAGUUGAUUAAUAGAAAAUUAAGAAAUAAAAUAAUCCUUGAAUACUUGAAUCUAAGGAUAGAAAUUCAGAUCCAGUUUAGGUGUAUGUAAUGAGAGGAAAUCAUGAUGAAGGCUGAAUUGAAGGAACUGAAUAUAAAUAACAAGAAUCAGAAACUUCUAGGAAGAGACAGCUGAAAUGGAGGGAGUAGUCCGCUGUGCUCUCUGUGGCGUAAAGAUUACAAUUAAGGAAGGCAAUGGGCCCUAUAGGGAUGGGAAAUCUUUGAGAUGACAGGGAGUGUAUGGUAAGGGACUGAGAUAAGAAUGAGAAGUGAAACUGGAGUAGAUGCCACUCUAGAAGCUUAUUAGUGAAGAGGAAGGAAUAGGAUUUUUUUGAAGAUAUUUUAUUUAGGGCUAGAAGACAUGUGAGGAUAUGUCCUGAAAUAAAGAGAGAAAAAUGGAGAGUGUGAAUAAGAAAGAGGAAGUAACUGACAUAAGGGUAUGCCUGCGCUAUGGUCACCAGGAUUCACUAAAGAGUGACUAGCCCUGUGGGGAGACAGGCAGCUCCUCUGAUCCCACAGGAGGGAUUAUUGCAUAGAUGCUGAAAGAAGGAGUCUAGAAGUAUAGAGGAGGACACUAGGGAAGUACACAGUGGAUGGCCUUGAUCUCAGCAAGGCACAUAGUGAGACCUGUGUCUUCCCUUAAAGAACUUGGGAAUAAGAACAAUGUUUUAGAAUCAGGAAAGAGAAGAAGGCAAUAAGGAAUCUUCAAGGUUGAAUAAUAGUACAAUAAUAAUGAA